Molecule: ribosomal RNA, 490 nt
Filed under: uncultured bacterium
Lineage: Bacteria
Description: partial 16S ribosomal RNA
Rfam family: Bacterial small subunit ribosomal RNA
Source: RNAcentral
AUUGAACGCUGGCGGCAGGCCUAACACAUGCAAGUCGAACGGUAACAGGAAGCAGCUUGCUGCUUUGCUGACGAGUGGCGGACGGGUGAGUAAUGUCUGGGAAACUGCCCGAUGGAGGGGGAUAACUACUGGAAACGGUAGCUAAUACCGCAUAACGUCGCAAGACCAAAGAGGGGGACCUUAGGGCCUCUUGCCAUCGGAUGUGCCCAGAUGGGGUUAGCUAGUAGGUGGGGUAACGGCUCACCUAGGCGACGAUCCCUAGCUGGUCUGAGAGGAUGACCGGCCACACUGGAACUGAGACACGGUCCAGACUCCUACGGGAGGCAGCAGUGGGGAAUAUUGCACAAUGGGCGCAAGCCUGAUGCAGCCAUGCCGCGUGUAUGAAGAAGGCCUUCGGGUUGUAAAGUACUUUCAGCGGGGAGGAAGGGAGUAAAGUUAAUACCUUUGCUCAUUGACGUUACCCGCAGAAGAAGCACCGGCUAACUCCGUG